RNAcentral lists this transfer-messenger RNA (388 nucleotides) under Bacteroidota bacterium. It matches the Rfam family "transfer-messenger RNA". From Rfam's summary of the family: Bacterial tmRNA, also known as 10Sa RNA or SsrA, is named for its dual tRNA and mRNA-like properties. Lineage: Bacteria; Pseudomonadati; Bacteroidota. The record is from RNAcentral.
GGGGAUGUCACGGCUUCGACGGGUGAAGCGUAAAGCAGACCGCGUGCCGAGCCUUCCAGGGGUGCUCGUAAAUCCCCCUUGGAAAACCGACAAAUGCCAACGAUUACGCAUUCGCGAUGGCCGCUUAAGGUCCUAUAGGAACCUUAGCCUUGCUAUCUGUCCACCAGCAUGUCUGUCCAUAGACGGCUGACUGGGCAUCGACUCUUAUGGAAUAGGUAAUGCCACGCCGGCUGAGUAAGCACUACUGAAAUUCGAUCAGCCUUUGUGUUGCUCUGGCCCGAGACGGUUGGCCACGGAGCGACAUGAGCACUGAGUAAACCGACUACGCACGUAGACGUCUGACUGGACGGUCAUUCGGACCUGGGUUCGACUCCCAGCAUCUCCACCA